RNAcentral lists this small nucleolar RNA (107 nucleotides) under Helianthus annuus (common sunflower). Its description in RNAcentral is "Plant small nucleolar RNA R71". It matches the Rfam family "Plant small nucleolar RNA R71". From Rfam's summary of the family: R71 is a member of the C/D box family of snoRNAs containing the C (UGAUGA) and D (CUGA) box motifs. Multiple nearly identical copies of this snoRNA have been identified in Arabidopsis, and it is thought to function as a 2'-O-ribose methylation guide for 18S ribosomal RNA. The record is from RNAcentral. Lineage: Eukaryota; Viridiplantae; Streptophyta; Magnoliopsida; Asterales; Asteraceae.
AGACCAUGAUGAGGGCACUUUCUCUGUAGCUCCUUGAACCUUUCUCAAGUUUCAUAUAAGGAUUCCUCAUCUUCUUGUGAUUAUGUAUUAAUUUCAGUCAUUAAUUU